This 497-nucleotide ribosomal RNA is filed under the name uncultured bacterium. RNAcentral describes it as "partial 16S ribosomal RNA". It matches the Rfam family "Bacterial small subunit ribosomal RNA", at positions 28 to 507 of the family's 1533-position model. The record is from RNAcentral.
GAUGAACGCUGGCGGCGUGCCUAAUACAUGCAAGUCGAGCGAACGGACGAGAAGCUUGCUUCUCUGAUGUUAGCGGCGGACGGGUGAGUAACACGUGGAUAACCUACCUAUAAGACUGGGAUAACUUCGGGAAACCGGAGCUAAUACCGGAUGAUAUUUUGAACCGCAUGGUUCAAAAGUGAAAGACGGUCUUGCUGUCACUUAUAGAUGGAUCCGCGCUGCAUUAGCUAGUUGGUAAGGUAACGGCUUACCAAGGCAACGAUGCACAGCCGACCUGAGAGGGUGAUCGGCCACACUGGAACUGGGACACGGUCCAGACUCCUACGGGAGGCAGCAGUAGGGAAUCUUCCGCAAUGGGCGAAAGCCUGACGGAGCAACGCCGCGUGAGUGAUGAAGGUCUUCGGAUCGUAAAACUCUGUUAUUAGGGAAGAACAUAUGUGUAAGUAACUGUGCACAUCUUGACGGUACCUAAUCAGAAAGCCACGGCUAACUACGUG